CUCCUCCCCUCGCAUACGCCGUCAUCGCCGUUGUCGCCACCGCCGCCGCUGCCACGACGUCGCCGCCGCUGCCAUGACGUCACCGCCGCCGUCACUACCGCCGUCGUCGACGCCGCCGCCGCCACUGCGCUUUUCUAGCCGUCGUUGCCACAUCGGAAGAUCCAGCCACCCAAACGAGAGAUCCAAUGGAAUUGAAGUGAGAAGGGAACAAUAGAGGAACUAGGGGAAAAGAUGGGCAAAAGAUUGUGCUACUCUGAUGCAGUUUUCAGAGACUACAUUAUGUAUUUAUAUUCAGACCACAUUCCAAUUUAUGAGCAUAUUACAAUCAUGCAAUGUUUAUCUCAUCGACAAACUAUUGAAUGACCAUCAUUUUGGAAAAUGAACAAGACAUCUCACUUUCAGCAACUGCAGGUGCUUGCAUUUGAAUUAUAUUGAGGUCUUCCAAUUUAUAUGUACAAGAUACAAAUGAAGAAUAUUCAUAAAUGAUUGUGCGAUAAGUUCAGACCCACAUGAAAGGCUCUGCAACAUGUGUUCAGCUUUGAUUUUUUUUUAAAGAGAUCCUAUGAGAAAUUCUAGAUGCGCUUCUUCAUUCUAUGAUGGGUUGUCUAUAUACUUCCUCCGUUUCACAAUAUGGUGAUAGGGAUCAGCAAGCGUGCAGUACAUCUCAAGCACAUGCAAGCUGGUGGUUGGAUCUUUACUGGCCAUAGCUACUACCCCUCCAUACUCGUAAAGGAAGUCGUUUAGGACAGCGACACGUUCUCCAAAACACAACUUUGACUUCUUAUUUCUAUAAAAAUAUUUAUUGAAAAGUUAUAUAUGUAUACUUUUAUGAAAAUAUUUUUCAAAACAAAUCUAUACAUAUAAUUUUUACAUUUUUAAACUCAACAACUUAAGAGUUAUUCAUGAUUUAUAUUCCCAAUGUUUGACUUAAAUAUUGUCCUAAACGACAUCCUUUAUGAAUAUGGUGUAGUAAUUCUUUUUUUAUGAAAAAAAUCCUCAAUCAAAUAAAUCUCAAAUAUCAGAUUAUAUCUGGUCAGUGUAACUAAUGUGUUAUCCUGACUCUGAAGUCAAUUUUGAAUAAUCUUGAAUUGGAUC
RNAcentral lists this small RNA (1095 nucleotides) under Oryza sativa Japonica Group (Japanese rice). RNAcentral's name for it is "sRNA Os07g0418150". Lineage: Eukaryota; Viridiplantae; Streptophyta; Magnoliopsida; Poales; Poaceae. The record is from RNAcentral.